RNAcentral lists this transfer RNA (73 nucleotides) under mine drainage metagenome. RNAcentral describes it as "tRNA-Thr". It matches the Rfam family "tRNA". From Rfam's summary of the family: Transfer RNA (tRNA) molecules are approximately 80 nucleotides in length. Their secondary structure includes four short double-helical elements and three loops (D, anti-codon, and T loops). The record is from RNAcentral.
GCCGGGAUAGCUCAGCAGGUAGAGCAGCGCAUUUGUAAUGCGACGGUCGGGGGUUCGAUUCCUCUUCCCGGCA